CACAUAGGUGCUCGAAAGAGUAAUCGAGUACACUGAACUACGAUCAAAAGAGAGUUCGAACAUACAUGUCGUGUAUGAACUCUAAAGUUGCAAUAUGCAAAGUAGUCCUUUGACCUGAGGCAUCAUAGAUGUCUAAUGGUUAGGUUCUUGAUCUUUAAUCAUGUCAACGGCAUUCCCUCGGAAUGUCCACGGCAUUGUUGGGGUCAAGCUAUCUAGUAAUGUAGGCAUAUGAAUGCACAACAAGGGAUCUCUAACCUUCCAUGGUGGAAGGAGAAUACUCUAAGAUAU
RNAcentral lists this long non-coding RNA (288 nucleotides) under Malus domestica (apple). RNAcentral describes it as "long non-coding RNA (MDOM_LNC000304)". Lineage: Eukaryota; Viridiplantae; Streptophyta; Magnoliopsida; Rosales; Rosaceae. The record is from RNAcentral.